Molecule: unclassified non-coding RNA, 628 nt
Filed under: Hevea brasiliensis (rubber tree)
Lineage: Eukaryota; Viridiplantae; Streptophyta; Magnoliopsida; Malpighiales; Euphorbiaceae
Source: RNAcentral
UCGGCGAAAAUCCUGAAAUCCCUAAUUCGCUCGAAAUCAAAAUCAAUUCAUUUCCAUUACCAAAAAAUAUAAAAAAAAAUCAAUCCAUGAAUCGGCUGCCGAUCAUUGCGAAGGAGGAAUUACCGUCGGAGCUCUCGCCUCCGCGGCCGAUGGAGGGGCUGCACGAGACGGGGCCGCCUCCGUUCCUCACCAAGACGUACGAGAUGGUGGAGGACUCCGGCACUGACGCCGUCGUGUCGUGGAGCGCGGCGGGCAACAGCUUUGUCGUCUGGGAUCCUCAUGAGUUCGCCACCGCCAUGCUCCCUCGGCACUUCAAGCAUCAGAACUUCUCAAGCUUCGUUCGCCAGCUCAAUACUUAUGGCUUUAGAAAGGUGGAUCCAGAUAGGUGGGAAUUUGCCAACGAGGGAUUCCUCAGGGCCCAAAAGCAUCUGCUCAAGACGAUAAAGAGGAGAAAACCAUCCAGUCAUCCUCUUCAACAACAAUCUCUUGGCCAAUGCCUUGAGGUUGGAUGGUACGGAUUGGAUCGAGAAGUGGACAGAUUAAAGAAGGACAAGAACAUCUUAAUGGAAGAGGUUAUGAAACUAAGGCAACAACAUCAGAAUACUCGAACUCAAAUAAAAGCCAUGGA